Molecule: long non-coding RNA, 404 nt
Filed under: Mus musculus (house mouse)
Lineage: Eukaryota; Metazoa; Chordata; Mammalia; Rodentia; Muridae
Description: long non-coding RNA chr8:117125334-117125738
Source: RNAcentral
AUGAAUGAUACCGUAUCCAUCUAACUGUCCUCACCAAGAAGUUCAUGACUAACAGUUUCUUCGGAGGAAACACACAGUCAUUGAUGUCCUUCGCCCCGGGAAAGCAACAGUACCAAAGACAGACGUAGAGGAAAAGCUAUCCACAAAGUACAAGACAAUGCCAGAUGUCAUCUUUGUAUUUGAAUUCAGAACCCACUUUGAUGGUGGCAGGGCAGCUGGCCUCCUGUGAUCCAUGAGUCUUUGGCUUAGUCAAGGAAGAAAUGAGCCUAAACACAGACGUGCAAGACUUGGCUUUGGCUAGAGGAAGACUUCCAGGGAAACAAUGAAAGGAAUGUGGAACCGGAUGGGGAAGACGGGGACAGGGAACACAGCAAACCAAAGCUGGUGCUAGCGGAAAGUAGAAA